This 744-nucleotide long non-coding RNA is filed under the name Heterocephalus glaber (naked mole-rat). Its description in RNAcentral is "lncRNA (ENSHGLG00000048290.1)". Lineage: Eukaryota; Metazoa; Chordata; Mammalia; Rodentia; Bathyergidae. The record is from RNAcentral.
CCCCGCCUCGCGGAACGGGGGGCGGGGAGGAAGCGCGGGAAGCUGGGGUCCUGACGCGGAACUGCUGCUGUGUUGUAGCAGUCUGGCUGGUGGCAGGGAGGGCAGAGAACGGGAAUCAAACUGGGGCUCCGGGAAGGCGUUCACCGGGACCGGACUGGGUCCAGGCCCGCCACGGCCCCCUGCGGAAGCCAGGAGGUCGCGCUCGCAGCGUCGGCUCGGACCGCACCCCCUCCACUGUGACCCCCGAGCGGGCAGGCGGAGCCAGGACGCUACGCUUCGGCGGGCGCCCUCCGCAGGCAGCCUGGGCUCCGCGGCGCAGGCCGCAUCUUCCGCCUCUUGAGCCUGGAAGCUUCUGAGGACGGCUUCACCAAACCAAGACCCAUCUUGUUGUGUUGCCCUGGCUGGCCUCGGAAGAUUUCUCCUGCCUCAGCCUCCCUGAAUACCUUGAACUGCAGGGUCUGGCCAUGUAGUCCAGCAGGCUGGCCUCGAACUCACUAUGCAGCCCAGGCUGGCUCCAACUCCUGGUGAUCCUCCUCCUUCAGCCUCCCCAGUGCUGGGAUUACAGGGUCUCCGUUGACUUACCCGCGGGCCGGGACAAGUGGCGCCCAACGUGCGGCCAGAGAACGGGGGAUCCAGUGAAGGACGCUGCUCAGGGGCCCUAAGAUUAAGAUUGAGGAACAAAGAGCACACUCGACACAGGAGAGGCUUGCAAUUGACGUAGACCUGCCGUCUUUUCGCACCUCG